Molecule: ribosomal RNA, 406 nt
Filed under: uncultured bacterium
Lineage: Bacteria
Description: partial 16S ribosomal RNA
Rfam family: Bacterial small subunit ribosomal RNA
Source: RNAcentral
AUUGAACGCUGGCGGCAGGCCUAACACAUGCAAGUCGAGCGAGCGGCGGACGGGUGAGUAAUGUAUGGGAAACUGCCCGAUAGAGGGGGAUAACUACUGGAAACGGUGGCUAAUACCGCAUACUAUCGGAUGAACCCAUAUGGGAUUAGCUAGUGGGUGGGGUAACGGCUCACCAAGGCGACGAUCUCUAGCUGGUCUGAGAGGAUGACCAGCCACACUGGAACGGAGACACGGCCCAGACUCCUACGGGAGGCAGCAGUGGGGAAUAUUGCACAAUGGGCGCAAGCCUGAUGCAGCCAUGCCGCGUGUAUGAAGAAGGCCUUAGGGUUGUAAAGUACUUUCAGCGGGGAGGCGUUACCCGCAGAAGAAGCACCGGCUAACUCCGUGCCAGCAGCCGCGGUAAUUC